RNAcentral lists this ribosomal RNA (253 nucleotides) under uncultured bacterium. RNAcentral's name for it is "partial 16S ribosomal RNA". It matches the Rfam family "Bacterial small subunit ribosomal RNA", at positions 524 to 776 of the family's 1533-position model. The record is from RNAcentral.
UACGUAGGGUGCAAGCGUUGUCCGGAAUUAUUGGGCGUAAAGAGCUCGUGGGCGGUCUGUCGCGUCGGAUGUGAAAAUCCAGGGCUUAACCCUGGACCUGCAUUCGAUACGGGCAGACUAGAGUUCGGUAGGGGAGACUGGAAUUCCUGGUGUAGCGGUGAAAUGCGCAGAUAUCAGGAGGAACACCGGUGGCGAAGGCGGGUCUCUGGGCCGAUACUGACGCUGAGGAGCGAAAGCGUGGGGAGCGAACAGG